AGUCCUCGUGUUGCAUCCC
Molecule: small nuclear RNA, 19 nt
Filed under: Arabidopsis thaliana (thale cress)
Lineage: Eukaryota; Viridiplantae; Streptophyta; Magnoliopsida; Brassicales; Brassicaceae
Description: snRNA_01907
Source: RNAcentral